This 427-nucleotide long non-coding RNA is filed under the name Pan troglodytes (chimpanzee). RNAcentral's name for it is "long non-coding RNA NONPTRT008574". The record is from RNAcentral. Lineage: Eukaryota; Metazoa; Chordata; Mammalia; Primates; Hominidae.
UGGACACAGCACAGGGGACAUCUUCGAAAGCUUCUCCUCGCACCCGCCCCUCAUCCUCCCCCUGGGGAGCUCGCGCCUGCGCCUCACUGGUCCAGUGACGGACGAUGCCUUGCACCGUGAACUCCGUAGGCUCCGCCGCCUCCUCUGGGAUCUUGAGCAGCAGGAGCUGCCAGCCAAUUAUCGCCAUGGGCCUCCCGUGGCCACGUCUCCUUGAGAACCAAUACCAAACGAGCGCGCGAACCUUGAAAUGUCACGGGCUUCUACUGACAGGAGCCCGCCUGAGCGCAGAGCUUUCUGGGAGUUGUAGUUCUUAUCCCGCGUGGAAUGUUGGGAGAUUGAGUUUUCGGGAAGUAGCGGAUGGGACGGUGGGAGCAUGGGCUUAGGAUGUGAAUGCCAGGGAGCAAUAAAGGUAUCCGUGGUAUCGGCA